This 467-nucleotide ribosomal RNA is filed under the name uncultured bacterium. Its description in RNAcentral is "partial 16S ribosomal RNA". It matches the Rfam family "Bacterial small subunit ribosomal RNA", at positions 28 to 507 of the family's 1533-position model. The record is from RNAcentral.
GACGAACGCUGGCGGCGUGCUUAACACAUGCAGUCGAACGGAAAGGCCCUGCUUUUGUGGGGUUCUCGAGUGGCGAACGGGUGAGUACACCCGAGUAAACCGUCCCUUUCCCUUGGGUAAACUUAGGGAAACGGGGGCCAAAUCCGGGAGAGGCUCCCGUCGUCCGGGGGGGGGUUGGAAAGUUUCGGCGGUUGGGGAUGGACUCGCGGCUUAUCAGCUUGUUGGUGGGGUAGUGGCUUACCAAGGCUUUGACGGGUAGCCGGCCUGAGAGGGUGACCGGCCACAUUGGGACUGAGAUACGGCCCAGACUCCUACGGGAGGCAGCAGUGGGGAAUAUUGCACAAUGGGCGGAAGCCUGAUGCAGCAACGCCGCGUGCGGGAUGACGGCCUUCGGGUUGUAAACCGCUUUCGCCUGUGACGAAGCGUGAGUGACGGUAAUGGGUAAAGAAGCACCGGCUAACUACGUG